This is a long non-coding RNA of Acanthochromis polyacanthus (spiny chromis), 1174 nucleotides long. RefSeq lists it as uncharacterized. Lineage: Eukaryota; Metazoa; Chordata; Actinopteri; Pomacentridae. The transcript has 10 exons. The record is from RefSeq and is a predicted model, not a curated record.
UGGACAGGUGUAGGUGCUACCUGUGUGAUGGACAGGUCUAGGCGGUACCUGUGUGAUGGACAGGUGUAGGCGGUACCAGUGUGAUGGACAGGUGUAGGCGGUACCUCUGAUGGACAGGUGUAGGCGGUACCUCUGAUGGACAGGUGUAGGCGGUACCUCUGAUGGACAGGUGUAGGCGGUACCUCUGAUGGACAGGUGUAGGCGGUACCUCUGAUGGACAGGUGUAGGCGCUACCUGUGUGAUGGACAGGUGUAGGCGCUACCUCUGAUGGACAGGUGUAGGCGCUACCUGUGUGAUGGACAGGUGUAGGCGCUACCUGUGUGAUGGACAGGUGUAGGCGGUACCUCUGAUGGACAGGUGUAGGCGCUACCUGUGUGAUGGACAGGUGUAGGCGGUACCUCUGAUGGACAGGUGUAGGCGCUACCUGUGUGAUGGACAGGUGUAGGCGCUACCUGUGUGAUGGACAGGUGUAGGCGCUACCUCUGAUGGACAGGUGUAGGCGCUACCUGUGUGAUGGACAGGUGUAGGCGGUACCAGUGUGAUGGACAGGUGUAGGCGGUACCUGUGUGAUGGACAGGUGUAGGCGCUACCUGUGUGAUGGACAGGUGUAGGCGGUACCUGUGUGAUGGACAGGUGUAGGCGGUACCUCUGAUGGACAGGUGUAGGUGCUACCUGUGUGAUGGACAGGUGUAGGCGGUACCAGUGUGAUGGACAGGUGUAGGCGGUACCUCUGAUGGACAGGUGUAGGCGGUACCUCUGAUGGACAGGUGUAGGCGCUACCUGUGUGAUGGACAGGUGUAGGCGCUACCUCUGAUGGACAGGUGUAGGCGCUACCUGUGUGAUGGACAGGUGUAGGCGGUACCAGUGUGAUGGACAGGUGUAGGCGGUACCUGUGUGAUGGACAGGUGUAGGCGCUACCUGUGUGAUGGACAGGUGUAGGCGGUACCUGUGUGAUGGACAGGUGUAGGCGGUACCUGUGUGAUGGACAGGUGUAGGCGCUACCUGUGUGAUGGACAGGUGUAGGCGGUACCUGUGUGAUGGACAGGUGUAGGCGGUACCAGUGUGAUGGACAGGUGUAGGCGGUACCUGUGUGAUGGACAGGUGUAGGCGCUACCUGUGUGAUGGACAGGUGUAGGCGGUACCUGUGUGAUGGACAGGUGUAGGCGGUACCUGU